RNAcentral lists this ribosomal RNA (405 nucleotides) under Triticum aestivum (bread wheat). RNAcentral's name for it is "partial small subunit ribosomal RNA". Lineage: Eukaryota; Viridiplantae; Streptophyta; Magnoliopsida; Poales; Poaceae. The record is from RNAcentral.
AUGGAGGGCCUCCUACAUUGGGACUUCUCACCCGGCCUUGCGGUCGCAGAUCAGGUGCGUAGACGGUUUGGAUCCUCUGCUCAUUUCCUCCCCGAUGGAUCUACCAAGGAAUUUUUCUUGGUUGUGUAUUUUUCGUCUGCCUCCUUCCCCUUAUCUGAAGAAUCUGUGGCCAUUGCCUUACAAUGUUGCAUCGGGGGUUUACCUUCUGGUCUUAAUGUGCAUCAUCUUGAGGGUCGGUCAUUUCGAUUCUCGGUGGCCUCUAAUCGUGUUGGACAUUUUAUCUAUGGUAUCAAAGAUCGAGUUUGGCCAGACUUCGUUUGCACUUUCAACUUUAUCGCCAUGGCCGUACUCCUCCAAGAUGUUUGGACAAUGUUUGGCAUUCCGAUGUUCACAGUCCUGAGGUAG